This 100-nucleotide transfer RNA is filed under the name Methylobacterium isbiliense. Its description in RNAcentral is "tRNA-Glu". The record is from RNAcentral. Lineage: Bacteria; Pseudomonadati; Pseudomonadota; Alphaproteobacteria; Hyphomicrobiales; Methylobacteriaceae.
GGCGCCGGUGGUGGACCGGAUCCGGCCUUUCGCCCGCGCUCACCGGGCCGGCUGGGUCGUGACGACCCAGAUCGGCGUGAUCGCCUGCCUGCUCGCGCUG